AACGAACGCUGGCGGCAGGCCUAACACAUGCAAGUCGAGCGAGCAUUUCGGUGCUAGCGGCGGACGGGUGAGUAACGCGUGGGAACGUGCCCUUUUCUGCGGAAUAGUCCUGGGAAACUGGGGGUAAUACCGCAUACGCCCUUCUGGGGAAAGAUUUAUCGGAGAAGGAUCGGCCCGCGUUGGAUUAGGUAGUUGGUGGGGUAAUGGCCCACCAAGCCGACGAUCCAUAGCUGGUUUGAGAGGAUGAUCAGCCACACUGGGACUGAGACACGGCCCAGACUCCUACGGGAGGCAGCAGUGGGGAAUCUUAGACAAUGGGGGCAACCCUGAUCUAGCCAUGCCGCGUGAGUGAUGAAGGCCUUAGGGUUGUAAAGCUCUUUCAGCUGGGAAGAUAAUGACGGUACCAGCAGAAGAAGCCCCGGCUAACUCCGUG
RNAcentral lists this ribosomal RNA (433 nucleotides) under uncultured bacterium. RNAcentral describes it as "partial 16S ribosomal RNA". It matches the Rfam family "Bacterial small subunit ribosomal RNA", at positions 29 to 507 of the family's 1533-position model. The record is from RNAcentral.